Molecule: long non-coding RNA, 827 nt
Organism: Piliocolobus tephrosceles (Ugandan red Colobus)
Lineage: Eukaryota; Metazoa; Chordata; Mammalia; Primates; Cercopithecidae
Source: Ensembl
AUGGAAGAUAAAGGUUCUUACAAUUUAAUUGUAGAUAAAAGACAUGAGCAAUUGAAACAAUACUCUAGUGACAUUAGAUAUUUAUUAUACGAGUUAAAAGAUUUAAUAAAAGUGCAUGAGAUUUUAAUGUAUAAAGAUAAACUGAAAAUUGCAGAUAAAGGGAAAAUCAAAAGACAACAAGAUGAAAUGGACAUUUUAAAAAAUGAUCUAGAAGUAAUAAAAAAAGAAAAUGACAAAAUGCAAGGACAAUUAAAAUAUUACAAAAAAGUUGAUGACUCAGUUAAUAAACAAAUAAAUUACAUAUCGGAAAAUAUUAGAAAGCUGAAAUUAAAUAUAAGCCGGGAACAGCAGAAGAAAGUGGAGUUACAAAAAAAUAUUAACGAAAUAAAAAAUAAAUAUAGUAAAUCAUUAAAAGAAAAGCAACUUUUGAAUGAAAGUUUUAUACAUCUAACUAAAAAUAACAAACUUACUAAGUUGGAAAAUAAUAUUAAUAUAGUAGUAGGUAGUGAACAUAAUAAGAAGAACUGUGUUAAAGUGAAUAAAGAAGAAGAAGCAAAAUAAAAAAAAAAAAAACUUAAACAAAGACAGUUCCGACGACUUAAGUACAAAAAACAAAUUCAAUGUACUUACAUAAGUAGUUAUGUAAUUAUAUUUUAUCAAAAGAUUAUAUAUGCAUAUAUACAUAUACAUAUAUAUCUAUGUAUGUAUGUUUUUUAGGUAAAACAUUUAUGUAAAAAAGUAGAAAAAGAAAAGGGAGUAUAUUGGGUUGUUUUACAAAAUUAAAUACCAUGAAUAAAAAAAAAAAUAGGAGAAAAAUAUGUUUAAAA